Molecule: RNA transcript, 8927 nt
Organism: Peromyscus californicus insignis
Lineage: Eukaryota; Metazoa; Chordata; Mammalia; Rodentia; Cricetidae
Gene: Adamts9
Gene name: ADAM metallopeptidase with thrombospondin type 1 motif 9
Exons: 41
Source: RefSeq, a predicted model, not a curated record
AGGGCGCCCGGCGCGCCUCGGAGCGCACGUUCCGCGCCUUCUCCUGCCCGCUGGCUGGACAUUAUGCGGCCGAGCAACCGAGCCCCAGUCCUCCGCCUCCUUCUCCUCCUCCUGCGGCCCGAGCCGCUCAGCUCACGGCAGGCGGCAGCGUUGCUCAGCCGAGCGCAGACGGGACCCUCUCUGCAAGACCUCAGCGACUCCUAAAGUCAAAAAGUUGGCGGCAGGGCGCCGGGGUUCCGCGCGCUCUCCACUGUUUCUGCCUCGCGUCGCCGCCAGCCACCAAAGCCGGCAGGAGGGAGGGGGUGGGAGAAGCGGGGGGGAGGGGUGAGGAGCACCAUGCAGUUAGUAUCCUGGGCCACACUGCUAACGCUCCUGGUGCCGGACCUGGUUGAGAUGAGGAGCCCUGACGCCGCGGCGGCCGUGCGCAAGGACAGGCUGCACCCGAGGCAAGUGAAAUUAUUAGAGACUCUGAGCGAAUAUGAGAUCGCGUCUCCCAUCCGAGUGAACACCCUCGGGGAACCCUUUCCCACGAACGUGCACUUCAAAAGAAGGCGACGAAGCAUUAACUCUGCCUCUGACCCCUGGCCUGCCUUCGCCGCCUCCUCCUCGUCUUCCUCUACCUCUUCCCAGGCGCAUUACCGCCUCUCAGCCUUCGGCCAGAAGUUUCUAUUUAAUCUCACCGCCCAUACCGGAUUUAUCGCUCCACUGUUCACUGUCACCCUCUUUGGAGAGCCAGGGGUGAACCAGAGCAAGCUGUACUCCGAAGAGGAAAUGGAACUUAGGCACUGUUUCUACAAAGGCCAUGUCAAUACCAAGUCCGAGCACACUGCGGUCAUCAGCCUGUGCUCCGGAAUGAUGGGCACAUUCCGGUCCCACGACGGAGAUUAUUUUAUUGAACCACUGCUGUCUGUGGAUGAGCAAGAGGAUGAAGAGGAACAGAACAAACCCCACAUUAUUUAUAGGCGCAGUACCCCUCAGAGGGAGCCCUCAGCAGGAAGGCGUGCCUGUGGCACCUCAGAAUUCAAGAACAGUCACAAUAAAGACAAGCGGAAAAGCAGACUGCAAAAGCGGAGAAAGAGGAACAGCCUGGCCGAUGAUGUGGCUCUGUUAAAGAGCGGCUUGGCAACCGAAAUGUUCUCCGGGUACAGCAAUAAGACAAGCGGCACGAGGGACAGGAGGAACCACAAAAGAGCCAAACGCUUCUUGUCCUACCCACGGUUUGUAGAAGUGAUGGUGGUAGCUGACCACAGAAUGGUUUUGUACCAUGGAGCAAACCUUCAGCAUUAUAUUUUAACCCUGAUGUCGAUUGUAGCUUCUAUCUAUAAAGACUCAAGUAUUGGAAAUUUAAUUAAUAUUGUUAUUGUGAACUUAGUUGUGAUUCAUAAUGAACAGGAAGGACCUUCCAUAAGUUUCAAUGCCCAGACAACACUAAAAAACUUUUGCCAGUGGCAGCAUGCCAAGAACCACUUAGGUGGGAUACAGCAUGACACCGCUGUUCUGGUCACAAGGGAGGAUAUCUGCAGAGCUCAGGACAAAUGUGACACCUUAGGUCUUGCUGAAUUGGGAACCAUCUGUGACCCCUACAGAAGUUGUUCCAUUAGUGAAGACAGUGGGCUGAGCACAGCUUUCACAAUAGCCCACGAGCUGGGCCAUGUGUUCAAUAUGCCUCACGAUGACAGCAAUAAAUGCAAAGAAGAAGGUGUGAAGAGCCCCCAGCACGUCAUGGCGCCAACAUUGAACUUCUACACCAACCCUUGGAUGUGGUCCAAGUGCAGUCGAAAAUACAUCACUGAGUUCUUGGACACUGGGUAUGGCGAGUGCUUGUUGAAUGAACCUGAAUCCAGAACCUACCCUUUGCCUUCCCAACUCCCAGGCCUCCUCUACAACGUGAAUAAACAAUGUGAAUUGAUUUUUGGGCCAGGUUCUCAGGUGUGCCCAUAUAUGAUGCAAUGUAGACGACUCUGGUGCAAUAAUGUGGAUGGAGCACACAAAGGCUGCAGGACUCAGCACACGCCCUGGGCUGACGGAACCGAGUGUGAGCCUGGAAAGCACUGCAAGUUUGGAUUUUGUGUUCCCAAAGAGAUGGAGGCCCCUGCGACUGAUGGAUCCUGGGGAAGUUGGAGUCACUUUGGAACGUGCUCCAGAACAUGCGGAGGAGGCAUCAAAACCGCCAUCAGAGAGUGCAACCGACCAGAACCAAAAAAUGGUGGGAAGUACUGUGUGGGGAGGAGAAUGAAGUUCAAAUCCUGCAACACCGAGCCUUGCCUGAAGCAGAAGCGCGAUUUCCGUGAAGAGCAGUGUGCUCACUUUGAUGGCAAGCACUUUAACAUCAAUGGUCUGCUGCCCAGCGUGCGCUGGGUCCCCAAGUACAGUGGAAUUUUGAUGAAGGACCGAUGUAAGUUGUUCUGCAGAGUGGCAGGAAACACAGCCUACUACCAGCUCCGAGACAGAGUGAUCGAUGGAACACCUUGUGGCCAGGACACAAAUGAUAUCUGUGUCCAAGGCCUUUGCAGGCAAGCUGGAUGUGAUCAUAUUUUAAACUCAAAAGCCCGGAGAGAUAAAUGUGGGAUUUGUGGUGGUGAUAAUUCUUCAUGCAAAACAGUGGCAGGAACAUUUAACACAGUCCAUUAUGGUUACAAUACUGUUGUCCGAAUUCCAGCUGGAGCUACCAGCCUUGAUGUGCGGCAGCACAGCUUCUCAGGGAAGUCCGAGGAUGACAACUACUUAGCUUUAUCAAACAGUAAAGGUGAGUUCCUGCUAAAUGGAGACUUUGUUGUCUCAAUGUCCAAAAGGGAGGUCCGUGUGGGGAAUACUAUGAUCGAGUACAGCGGAUCUGAUCAUGCUGUGGAAAGACUGAACGCCACAGACCGGAUCGAGGAAGAGCUUCUCCUUCAGGUGUUGUCGGUGGGGAAGUUGUACAACCCUGAUGUGCGGUACUCCUUCAAUAUUCCAAUUGAGGACAAACCUCAACAAUUCUACUGGAACAGUCAUGGGCCGUGGCAAGCCUGUAGCAAGCCCUGCCAAGGGGAGCGGAGACGAAAACUGGUUUGCACCAGGGAGUCUGAUCAGCUCACUGUUUCUGAUCAAAGAUGUGACCGGCUGCCCCAGCCAGGACCUGUCACUGAAGCGUGCGGCACAGACUGCGACUUGAGGUGGCAUGUUGCCAGCAAAAGUGAAUGCAAUGCCCAGUGUGGUUUGGGUUACCGCACUUUAGACAUCCACUGUGCCAAAUACAGCAGGCUGGAUGGGAAGUCUGAGAAGGUUGAUGACAGUUUUUGUAGUAGUCAACCCAAACCAAGCAACCAGGAAAAAUGCUCAGGAGAAUGUAACACAGGUGGAUGGCGCUACUCAGCUUGGACAGAAUGUUCUAAAAGCUGUGAUGGUGGUACCCAGAGAAGAAGAGCUAUUUGUGUCAACACCCGCAAUGAUGUCCUGGAUGACAGCAAGUGCACACAUCAGGAGAAAGUUGUCGUACAGAGAUGCAAUGAGUUCUCUUGUCCUCAUUGGAAAUCGGGGGACUGGUCAGAGUGCUUGGUCACCUGUGGAAAAGGACAUAAGCACCGCCAGGUCUGGUGUCAGUUUGGCGAAGAUCGAUUAAGUGAUAGAAUGUGUGACCCUGAGGUCAAGCCAGAGUCCAUGCAGACUUGUCAGCAGCCAGAGUGUGCAGCCUGGCAGGCAGGUCCCUGGGGACAGUGCAGUGCCACUUGUGGACAGGGAUACCAACUAAGGGCAGUGAAGUGCGUCAUUGGGACUUACAUGUCAGUGGUAGAUGACAAUGUCUGUAACGCAGCAACUAGGCCGACCGAUACCCAGGACUGUGAACUAUCAUCUUGUCAUCCUCCCCUGUUGGGCCCAGAACCAAGGAGAAAUGCACACAGUGUGCCCAGAACCCAGUGGCGAUUUGGGUCUUGGACUCCAUGCUCAGCCACUUGUGGAAAAGGAACCCGGAUGAGAUAUGUCAGCUGUCGAGAUGAGGACGGUUCUGUGGCUGAUGAGAGUGCCUGUGCUACCUUACCUAAACCAGUAGCCAAGGAAGAAUGUUCUGUGACACCCUGUGGACAGUGGAAGGCUCUAGACUGGAGCUCCUGUUCCGUGACUUGUGGGCAAGGUAAGGCAACCCGACAAGUGGUAUGUGUCAACUACAGCGACCACGUGAUUGAUCGGAGUGAGUGUGACCAGGAUUAUAUCCCAGAGACUGACCAGGACUGUUCCAUGUCACCAUGCCCUCAACGGAACCCAAGCGCUGGCUUUGCUUACCCAUUUCAAAACGAGGACUUCCGUCCCCGGAGUGACAGCCCUAGCCGCACCCACGUGCUUGGAGGAAACCAGUGGAGAACCGGCCCUUGGGGAGCAUGUUCUAGUACCUGUGCCGGAGGGUCCCAGAGGAGAGUUGUGGUGUGUCAGGAUGAAAACGGAUACACGGCCAGUGAUUGUGUAGAGAGAAUCAAACCUGAUGAGCAAAGAGCCUGUGAAUCUGGCCCGUGUCCCCAAUGGGCUUACGGCAGCUGGGGAGAGUGUACCAAGCUGUGUGGCGGAGGCAUGCGGACGAGACUGGUGGUCUGUCAGCGGGCCAACGGUGACCGGUUCCCAGAUUUGAGCUGUGAAGUUCUUGACAAGCCUCCGGACCGUGAGCAGUGCAACACACAAGCUUGCCCACAAGACGCUGCAUGGAGUACUGGCCCUUGGAGCUCGUGUUCUGUCUCUUGUGGUCGAGGGCAUAAACAACGCAAUGUUUACUGCUUGGCCAAAGAUGGAAGCCAUUUAGAGAGUGAUUACUGUAAGCACCUUACUAAGCCACAUGGGCACAGAAGGUGCCGAGGAGGACGCUGCCCCAGAUGGAAGGCUGGCGCAUGGAGUCAGUGCUCUGUGUCCUGUGGCCAAGGCGUGCAGCAGAGGCAUGUGGGCUGUCAGAUCGGGACACACAAAACAGCCAGAGAGAGUGAGUGCAGCCCAUACACCAGACCAGAGUCGGAGCGUGUCUGCCAAGCCUCACCAUGUCCUCUCUACACUUGGAGGGCAGAGCAAUGGCAAGAAUGCACCAAGACGUGUGGUGAAGGCUCCCGGUACCGACAGGUGGUGUGUGUAGCCGAGGACCAAACCGAGGUGCACAGUGCACAUUGUGACUCGGACCAGCGGCCUCCAGACCGUGAGAGCUGCAGCCUGCAGCCCUGCGAGUAUGUGUGGAUCACAGGAGAAUGGUCCGAGUGCUCAGUGACCUGUGGAAAGGGCUACAGGCAAAGGCUGGUCUCCUGCAGUGAGAUUUAUACCGGCAAGGAGAACUACGAAUACAGCUACCAGACCACGGUGAACUGCCCAGGCACGCAGCCGCCAAGCGUCCGUCCCUGCUACCUGAGGGACUGUCCUGUCUCAGCCACCUGGAGAGUUGGUAACUGGGGCAGCUGCUCGGUGUCCUGCGGCGUGGGAGUCAUGCAUAGAUCUGUGCAGUGUUUAACCAAUGAAGACCAACCCAGCCACUUGUGUCCCACUGAUCUCAAGCCAGAAGAACACAAAACCUGCCACAACGUUUAUAAUUGUGAGCUACCCCAGAACUGCAAGGAGGUAAAAAGACUCAACAGCGCCAGUGUAGAUGGAGAGUACUUCCUGAUUGUUAGAGGGAAACCCCUAAAGGUAUUCUGUGCAGGGAUGCAUUCUGACUAUCCCAAGGAGUACGUGACGCUGGCCCAUGGUGACUCGGAGAAUUUCUCCGAAGUUUACGGGCACAGGCUGCACAACCCCACAGAAUGUCCCUAUAACGGGAGCCGACGAGACGACUGUCAUUGCCGGAAGGAUUACACAGCUGCUGGCUUUUCCAGUUUCCAGAAAAUUCGAAUCGACCUGACCAGCAUGCAGAUCAUAACCACUGACUUAGAGUUUGCAAGAACAAGUGAAGGACAUCCGGUCCCUUUCGCCACUGCUGGGGACUGCUACAGCGCCGCCAAGUGUCCACAGGGGCGUUUUAGUAUCAACCUUUAUGGGACCGGCCUGUCUUUAACGGAGUCUGCCCGAUGGACAUCACAAGGGAAUUAUGCCGUUUCGGACAUCAAGAAGUCUCCGGAUGGUACCCGGGUUGUUGGGAAAUGCGGCGGUUACUGUGGGAAGUGUACUCCAUCCUCGGGCACGGGCCUGGAGGUGCGAGUUUCAUAACUAAGUUGAGUUCAUUUAUUUAUGUGUGUAUGUGUUGGUGCGUGCACAGGCCUCCGCAUGCCUGUGGAUCUGCGGACAACCCACAGGUGUCAGUUCUCACCUUCCAGCAAGUGCCUCUCCUCACUCUGCCGCUUGCUGCUCUCCUUCUCUGGUGCUGGAGGUCAAACCCGGGACCUCACACUACUAGACAGACACCCCACCACUGAGCUGCAUCCCCAGCCCACUUCUGUGUUGCUCGGAGCAAAGAAAUAAGUAAAGAAAUAACCAAAUAAGUAAGAGUUCACUUUGUAACCUGGAGAAGACCCUAAGUGGCACUUGGUAACUCUGCAUGUGAAAAUGCCUAGUCGCCUGCUCUCGGCUUUCAGCCUUUGGCAGAGAAGGGGCUCUGAAGAGGAAACUAUUAUGGAAUGGAUGAAGGAUAGUAAUUCAAUACCUCCACCUUAACUUUGGGUGCAUCUGUGUGUGUGUGUGUGCGGACCUGUCUGCUUGUGUGUGUGAACGUGUGUGUAUAUGAGUGUACAUAUGCAUAUAUAUAAAUAUAUAUAAAUAUAUAUAUACAGAUUGAGCAUCCCUUAUCCCAAAAUUUAAAGUCUGAAAUGCUCCAAGUUCUGAAACCUUUUGAGUGUCAGCAUGAGAUCUCAAAUGGAAAAUUUCAUGCCAUGAAACUUUGUUUUAUACACAAAAUUUGUUGACGUACCAUGCAAAAUUACAUUUCUGUCAUGUAUGUAAAGGUGCAUGGGAAACACCAAUGAAGUCCAUAUCCCACGUUCUUGGGCAAGUAUUGCUCUCUGCCUGAGUACCCUACUGCUUAAGAGCUAUACUAAAAACUCCUAGUAAGCCCAACGCCACUUAAAAGAAAGAAGCAUAAAUGAAUACUAUGUUCAGAUUUGAAUCCCAUCCCCAAGGUAUCUCAUUUUUUUAUAUGAGAAUAUCACCAAGUCUUUGAAAUGUCCGACAUACACACUAAUGGUCUCAAGCAUUUCAAUAAGGGAUACUCAACCUGUGGAAUACCCUAAUGAUGUAAAGUUUAAUAUUUAUGUUUGAAAUUAUUUAUUGUGAUGUAAUAUUUUUGUACGUAAAAUGAUUUUAUUGUGACUGCCUGUGCAUGACGCCCUCCCUUGCAGUCAGACCGCUGCAUUUUACGUACUCUACAUUAUAUGUAGUAUAUGACAAAGUGACCCUUCAUUAUCACGGUACACUGUUGUUUACUUUUUACCUGAAAAUGUGUUUUUACUGUUACAUUUUGAGAAUUGUAAUUAUUUUUUUUAACAAUCUAGCUGUCAUCAAGGUGCUAUGUGAGUUGAAUAAGGGUAUUUUUGGCAAUUGUGGGAAUGUUUCAUUAGCCAAGAAGUGAGUUAGCAACAUCACAGAUUGUACCAACUGCUAAUUAUCGUAUCUAUUCCGUUUCAUGUGAUCUCUGGGAAGAAAUAUGCUGCCUUGGUGCUAAUAUUAUAUGUUUUUAAAGUAAUCUUCAGAGUAAAAAAUAUAAACACAAUAAAAGGGAGUAACAGAUAGAUAAUUCAUAAUGGAUAAAAUCACUUGGCUAGAGUAAGACCCACUAUUAACACUUAUUUGUAGACAUGCCUUUUUUGGAUAGUAGCUGGACUCAUUGCUUCCUGCUGUUGUUGGUAAUAUGCUUUACUCUGGUCCAUGGUGCCUUGGACUCCUUUCAAUCAUUGGGAGGGUCCACCAAUAGCUUCCUUACAUAGAGACACUGGGAAAGGGAGGGUCUCCUGCUGUUUUGUCAAGAUCUCCUCAAAGACACCCAAGUUUACCAGUAUCAAGACAAAGGAUAUACAGCAAGAUCAUAGCCUUAACACCCCUUGGCAUACUCAUGGCCUUCAGCACCCCUAAGCAGACUCGAGAGAACUACAGAAGCAGAUUCUGAGCCAUGGAGAUCGACCACCUUUUACAUGAAAACUUUGGCCAAUGAUAUGACUUCCCUUCAGGCUGUGAGCCUAAUACCCUGCCGGGUUUCCUGUGGUCUUUGGCGUUUGUGUGAAAAAUAAACUGGCAUAUAAGACGCCCAAGUCUUUCUGAUCUUCCACGAGUCCACCUUUUGUUACUUCUUUCUGAAAUGGAAGUGCUGAAGCUGUGGUCACAAGACGUUUUGCCUGAGAAAGCCUGCCCAAGCUUUCCAAGACCAAAGAGAUUAGGGAAACCCUGACAGUAUUCUCCAACUCCACAGAAAUACCAGAGCACAGUAUACUCAGUGUAUGAACAAGUGUCAUCCUCUAUUGUUAAUAUAUGUGAAACAUAUUAUAAAUAAAUAUCGUGACCACAUCCAAACCAUGUAUGGUUCUCUUGGCUUCUGGUUUGUAUUUGAUUAACAUUCAAAUACAAAUGUCUCUAGGGUUUUUUUCUCUAUAUUUUUGAGAUUAUAAUGUAUUACAUCCUUUUCCUUUCUUCAAACCUUACUGUCUUAGGGUUUCUACUGCUGUGAAGAGACACCAUGACCAAGGCAAUUCUUAUAAGGGAAAAACAUUUAACUGGGGUGACUUACAUUUUCAGAGGUUUAGUCCAUUAUCAUCAAGGUGCUACAUGGUGGAGUGCAGGCAGACAUGGUGCUGGAGCUGAGAGUCCUACAUCUUGAUCAGUAGGCGACAGAAAGUAGUCUGUCUCACUGGGCGUGGCUUGAGCAUAUAUGAACCCUCAAAGCCUGCCACCACAGUGACAUACUUCCUCCAACAAGGCCACACCUCCCAUUAAUGCCACUCCCUUUGGGAGCCAUUGUUGUUUUUAUCUAAGUUGUUCUAUUAACCAAUAAAGAUUUGGGAGUAAGA